Molecule: ribosomal RNA, 497 nt
Filed under: uncultured bacterium
Lineage: Bacteria
Description: partial 16S ribosomal RNA
Rfam family: Bacterial small subunit ribosomal RNA
Source: RNAcentral
GAUGAACGCUGGCGGCGUGCCUAAUACAUGCAAGUCGAGCGAACGGACGAGAAGCUUGCUUUUCUGAUGUUAGCGGCGGACGGGUGAGUAACACGUGGAUAACCUACCUAUAAGACUGGGAUAACUUCGGGAAACCGGAGCUAAUACCGGAUAAUAUUUUGAACCGCAUGGUUCAAAAGUGAAAGACGGUCUUGCUGUCACUUAUAGAUGGAUCCGCGCUGCAUUAGCUAGUUGGUAAGGUCACGGCUUACCAAGGCAACGAUGCAUAGCCGACCUGAGAGGGUGAUCGGCCACACGGGAACUGAGACACGGUCCAGACUCCGACGGGAGGCAGCAGUAGAGAAUCUUCCGCAAUGGGCGAAAGCCUGACGGAGCAACGCCGCGUGAGUGAUGAAGGUCUUCGGAUCGUAAAACUCUGUUAUUAGGGAAGAACAUAUGUGUAAGUAACUGUGCACAUCUUGACGGUACCUAAUCAGAAAGCCACGGCUAACUACGUG